CAACUUUUAACAAUGGAUCUCUUGGCUCUGGCAUCGAUGAAGAACGCAGCGAAACGCGAUAUGUAAUGUGAAUUGCAGACUUUAGUGAAUCAUCGAAUCUUUGAACGCACAUUGCGCCCCGUGGUAUUCCGCGGGGCAUACCUGUUCGAGCGUCAUUA
RNAcentral lists this ribosomal RNA (158 nucleotides) under Neobulgaria sp. 1 RJ2014. RNAcentral's name for it is "5.8S ribosomal RNA". It matches the Rfam family "5.8S ribosomal RNA". From Rfam's summary of the family: 5.8S ribosomal RNA (5.8S rRNA) is a component of the large subunit of the eukaryotic ribosome. It is transcribed by RNA polymerase I as part of the 45S precursor that also contains 18S and 28S rRNA. The record is from RNAcentral. Lineage: Eukaryota; Fungi; Ascomycota; Leotiomycetes; Helotiales; Gelatinodiscaceae.